UACGGGGGGGGCAAGCGUUGUUCGGAAUUACUGGGCGUAAAGGGUUUGUAGGUGGCUCGCUAAGUCAGACGUGAAAUCCCUCAGCUUAACUGGGGAACUGCGUCUGAGACUGGCGAGCUUGAGUGCAGGAGAGGAACGCGGAAUUCCAGGUGUAGCGGUGAAAUGCGUAGAUAUCUGGAGGAACACCGGUGGCGAAGGCGGCGUUCUGGACUGCAACUGACGCUGAGGCGCGAAAGCUAGGGGAGCAAACAGG
This 253-nucleotide ribosomal RNA is filed under the name uncultured bacterium. RNAcentral describes it as "partial 16S ribosomal RNA". It matches the Rfam family "Bacterial small subunit ribosomal RNA", at positions 524 to 776 of the family's 1533-position model. The record is from RNAcentral.